RNAcentral lists this ribosomal RNA (425 nucleotides) under uncultured bacterium. RNAcentral's name for it is "bacterial SSU rRNA". It matches the Rfam family "Bacterial small subunit ribosomal RNA", at positions 354 to 796 of the family's 1533-position model. The record is from RNAcentral.
GUUGGGAAUCUUGCGCAAUGGGGGCAACCCUGACGCAGCGACGCCGCGUGCGGGAUGACGGUCUUCGGAUUGUAAACCGCUUUUCCCAGGGACGAUAAUGACGGUACCUGGGGAAUCAGCCCCGGCUAACUCCGUGCCAGCAGCCGCGGUAAGACGGAGGGGGCAAGCGUUGUCCGGAAUUACUGGGCGUAAAGCGCUCGUAGGCGGUCGCGUACGGCGGUGGUGAAAGCUCCCGGCUCAACUGGGAGAGGCCCGCCGCAACGGCGUGACUCGAGGGUGGUAGAGGCAGAUGGAAUUCCUGGUGUAGCGGUGAAAUGCGUAGAGAUCAGGAGGAACACCCGUGGCGAAGGCGGUCUGCUGGGCCACACCUGACGCUGAGGAGCGAAAGCUAGGGGAGCGAACGGGAUUAGAUACCCCAGUAGUCC